GAUGAACGCUGGCGGCGUGCCUAAUACAUGCAAGUCGAGCGAACAGAUGAGGAGCUUGCUCCUCUGACGUUAGCGGCGGACGGGUGAGUAACACGUGGAUAACCUACCUAUAAGACUGGGAUAACUUCGGGAAACCGGAGCUAAUACCGGAUAAUAUAUUGAACCGCAUGGUUCAAUAGUGAAAGACGGUUUUGCUGUCACUUAUAGAUGGAUCCGCGCCGCAUUAGCUAGUUGGUAAGGUAACGGCUUACCAAGGCAACGAUGCGUAGCCGACCUGAGAGGGUGAUCGGCAACACUGGAACUGAGACACGGAACAGACACCUACGGGAGGCAGCAGUAGGGAAUCUUCCGCAAUGGGCGAAAGCCUGACGGAGCAACGCCGCGUGAGUGAUGAAGGUCUUAGGAUCGUAAAACUCUGUUAUUAGGGAAGAACAAAUGUGUAAGUAACUAUGCACGUCUUGACGGUACCUAAUCAGAAAGCCACGGCUAACUACGUG
This 497-nucleotide ribosomal RNA is filed under the name uncultured bacterium. RNAcentral describes it as "partial 16S ribosomal RNA". It matches the Rfam family "Bacterial small subunit ribosomal RNA", at positions 28 to 507 of the family's 1533-position model. The record is from RNAcentral.